GAUUGAAGAACGUAGCAAAAUGCGAUAAGUAAUGUGAAUUGCAGAAUUCAGUGAAUCAUCGAAUCUUUGAACGCACAUUGCGCCCGCCAGUAUUCUGGCGGGCAUGCCUGUUCGAGCGUCAUUUCAACCCUCAAGCACAGCUUGGUGUUGGGACUCGCGUUAAUUCGCGUUCCCCAAAUUGAUUGGCGGUCACGUCGAGCUUCCAUAGCGUAGUAGUAAAACCCUCGUUACUGGUAAUCGUCGCGGCCACGCCGUUAAACCCCAACUUCUGAAUGUUGACCUCGGAUCAGGUAGGAAUACCCGCUGAACUUAAGCAUAUCAAUAAGCGGAGGA
Molecule: unclassified non-coding RNA, 333 nt
Filed under: soil metagenome
Description: partial contains 5.8S ribosomal RNA, internal transcribed spacer 2, and large subunit ribosomal RNA
Rfam family: 5.8S ribosomal RNA (bases 4-121)
Source: RNAcentral